This is a long non-coding RNA of Dromaius novaehollandiae (emu), 3017 nucleotides long. RefSeq lists it as uncharacterized. Lineage: Eukaryota; Metazoa; Chordata; Aves; Casuariiformes; Dromaiidae. The record is from RefSeq and is a predicted model, not a curated record. The transcript has 5 exons.
UCUCUAGAAAAGAUUACACAAAUGGUAAGGAAAAAAAGACUUAUUUCCUGAAUCAUACUCUAGCCUGCAGAGUCAGCACUUCUGGGAAGCAACCUGUGACUUUCCUCUACCCAGUCUGAUUUUCCUGAGUAAACCAGUGUCUCCUGAGCUCUUGCCAAUGGCAGCAGAAGCUGCUCCUGUCUCCAGCCCCUAACCACAGCUUCGGCAGUGCGUGACACUUCUCCCCAGCCCGUCGCGCGGGGAACCUCUGCCGCCUGACAGAGGCAGGACGCUGCGGCCCUUCCCGCGGUCCCAGCCGACGGAGGCCGGAGCAGCGUGCGAGGCUGCGGCCCGGUGACGCUCGCUGUAACGAUGCCGCGGGCAGCACGGCGCGGGAGCCUGGCCCGCUGCCCCCGAGUCGGGGGGCUGCCGGAAGCAAAGGGACAAGUGCCAAGACGUGGGAAUAACAGGUUCACUUCCAAGCUCUGUAGCAGAUGAGUCUAGAAGCUCUGUUGCCCUUCUCACUUUUAGCCCCCCGUGGGAUAGCCGCUUCCAGCUCGGCCGCAUCAGUACGCUGAAGACGUUAAGCCUGAGCGUGGGGAGCAGAGGAAAAGGAGACCCUCGCGCAGAGCAUCGAGGAAGGCUCUGACCUCAGCCCCACCUCGGUGAAGAGCAUUUAAAAGGCUUGGUAAGGAGAAUCCCAAGCUACUGCCAGGACCCGAGCUGGUGUUGGUUUCUAACACUGCUUCAGACGUGGGACGCUGCUAUGUUAUGGACGGUAUCCUGGAAACUUCAACAGGGACACGGGGAAAAAAAUCACUGUUCUGUGUUUGGGAGCGGAGUUUUGGGCUGUGCAGUAAGCACCCAUCCUAACCCUGCCGGAGGAGAACAGCUCCCCUUUCCUAGCAGCAACCAGAGUUGUUGUUAAUUAAUGUCUUGCUGAAAACUAAGUCUUUGCCAUCUGUUCCGCCCCCUCACUACGAAUGCCACUCUCAUUCUGGUGCUUAUGUAAUUAAAAAUGAAAAUAUAUUUUGGUAGAGUGCUGCAUAGGCAUCUGCGCUGCUUCUCCUGUGCCCGGUCCCCUCGCUCCCCCCGCCCCAACCCCUAAUAAAAGCCAAAGGCGAGAAUUGUUCGACCCUCCGGCAGCUUCACGCCGGAGCCGCGGUGCCGGAGCCGAGCCGGGGAGUGUCGCGGGCGCCGGAGCCGAGCGCGCUGCGGUCGAGCGGUGCCGCCUUCGGAAACCAAACCCCGGCUGCCGCGUUCACGGGAAACCUGCGGCAGGAAGCUGCCCCUUCGCCCGAAGCCGCCCCGAGUUCCCGCGGGGCGAUGACCUGAAUCUCGAAGGUGAAAAGGGAAAAGAGAGAGGCCUGGUCGCUCCGUAAGUGACGGCCUGACCUCCGAGCUCGGCCGGGCUGCUCGCGCUGCAAACGCGGCCUCUGCGGAGCGAAGGGUGGAGGAAGAGCGAAGAGGAGGGGUAGCUUUCCUGUAAGCGGGUUACAGCAAUUACCGAGGUCUCUUACAGCAAAUGAAGUUGUCAGCGUGAGUCACAUUCCCUUUUUUCUCUCGCUGCCAAGUUUUAGGCAGUAACGAGACAGAGGGAGGAAAAAAAAAGCGCAAAAGCAACAAUGGAGAAAAGUUGAACUGAAACAACCCUUCAUUCUGGGUAUUAUUUGGCGUUUUAGUUCUGAUGGUACAUAGAGAUAAAGGGUCUAUAAAUAUCCUGUCUGCUGAAAUUCCUUAUCACAACAUCGCCUGUCAGCUGAACAAAUAGGUUAGGUUUGCCAAAUAAUACAUAAUUACAUAUGUAAAUACAAAAUUACAGAUUGUAUCCCUGCACCGCGUGGAGUGAAGGUCUGAUGGCUGCAAAGGACAGCAACCUUUCCUGCUUCGCCGAGAGAUGCCCAGUCCCAGGGAAGCAGACGACAUGUGCAGCUGCUGCUGCCGAAGCGCUGCGAGCUCCCAGGCUGGACUGAGCUCAGCGGCGAGAUAUUUAUCUGACCAGCUAGGCGAGAUGAAAGCAUCUUCUGACAGUUUGGGGAGUAUCGUAGCAUUUAGCUCUGUUUAGCAAAUGGCUGGGAGCUUUUCUGCUCUGCUUUAGAGCUUUUAAUGAAGCAUUGUGAUUCCCAUUGUGGUCAACUGUUUGACACUUUUAUUAUUACUGGUAUGCGCAGCGUUUUUUAAUGUUUGACAGCUGGAGAAAGAAGUAUUUUGUGCAUUCAAACUUUUAGCACAAAGCUGCUGUUUUCCCUUCUGCCCUUGCCUUUGUCUUUUAUUCUUGCUGAUGCAAAUCAACCAAAGACAGAACUGAUGAAAUUACGUUUGUUUACUUUUUAGUUGAUGGUAAGAAGACAGAGCCUGCCCUUUAUGCAAGACAGAAACAGAGAAUAUGAAUGUUUCUAUGAUGUUUCGAGAAAAAGAUUUUUUCUUAAGUAUAAAAGGCAUUUUUUUGUUUCUUAUGCCUUGAUUUAUAAGAUAAUGCACAACUUCCUAACGUAUGUGGAAUAAGAAUAGAGCAAUGAAGGAUGAUUAGCAAUGGAUUACAUUUGAUAAGCUUAUAUCUGGUUACUGUAGUAAUUCAGCGGUAUAAAUGCUCAUAGCACAUCACAAAACAAACACAUCAGGAUAGUCCUGUCCAUCGCAGCAGGGCCGCCUCUGAUCGCUGUGACAGCUGCACAAAAGAGCCCGCUCCAUCCGAGGCUUUAGCUUCAUACAGAUGCAAAAAUUAUUGGGUCCUGGUUCGAAGAUACUGGUGCAGCGAUGGAGAGCAGGAAGCGCUGAGAGGUAGGGCUGCGGAAAUGGGAUACCCCUGGUUGUUUUGGUGAGUAAUGCUCGCGUCUCGGGGAUUGUGUAAUACCCUUUUUUGAGCGCUCGUCCUGCGAAAGGCGGCCUGCCUUUGUGCCUCCCCGUAGCGCAGCGUGUUGCAGGGAAGACGACCCUGCGCACGUUCCCGGCUGUCAGCAGCCGCGUGGAAGGUGGUGGGACAGGGCAAUCGGGAGCACGGAAUAACAACGGAAAGAUCUCGGGUGGGCUGGAAGGCA